CAAGCUUAAAGAAAAGGUGGCCUCUGUAUAUGCUACCGAUUAUGGAUGGACCCGCGUCUGAUUAGCUAGUUGGUGGGGUAAAGGCCUACCAAGGCGACGAUCAGUAGCCGGCCUGAGAGGGUGAACGGCCACACUGGAACUGAGACACGGUCCAGACUCCUACGGGAGGCAGCAGUGGGGAAUCUUCCGCAAUGGGCGAAAGCCUGACGGAGCAACGCCGCGUGAGCGAAGAAGGUCUUCGGAUUGUAAAGCUCUGUGAUAUUGGACGAACAAUUUCCCGUAAAUAAUGGGAAGGAAUGACGGUACAAUAAGAGGAAGCCACGGCUAACUACGUGCCAGCAGCCGUUGUCCGGAAUUAUUGGGCGUAAAGGGCGCGUAGGCGGAUCGUUAAGUCCGGUGUGAAAGAUCAGGGCUCAACCCUGAGAGUGCAUCGGAAACUGGAGAUCUUGAGGACAGGAGAGGAAAGUGGAAUUCCACGUGUAGCGGUGAAAUGCGUAGAUAUGUGGAGGAACACCAGUGGCGAAGGCGGUUGCCUGGCCUGUAACUGACGCUGAGGCUCGAAAGCGUGGGGAGCAAAUAGGAUUAGAUACCCUAGUAGUCCACGCUGUAAACGAUGAUUACUAAGUGUUGGAGCAAUUCAGUGCUGCAGUUAACGCAAUAAGUAAUCCGCCUGGGGAGUAUGCACGCAAGUGUGAAACUCAAAGGAAUUGACGGGGGCCCGCACAAGCAGCGGAGCAUGUGGUUUAAUUCGACGCAACGCGAAGAACCUUACCAGGACUUGACAUCCCUCGCUAUUUACUGAAAGGUAGAGUUCCCUUCGGGGACGAGGAGACAGGUGGUGCACGGUUGUCGUCAGCUCGUGUCGUGAGAUGUUGGGUUAAGUCCCGCAACGAGCGCAACCCUUGUCUUUAGUUGCUAACGCGUAGUGGCGAGCACUCUAGACAGACUGCCGGUGAUAAACCGGAGGAAGGUGGGGAUGACGUCAAAUCAUCAUGCCCCUUAUGUCCUGGGCUACACACGUGCUACAAUGGGCUGAACAGAGGGAAGCGAGACCGCGAGGUGGAGCCAAUCCCAUAAAACAGCUCUCAGUUCAGAUCGUAGGCUGCAACUCGCCUACGUGAAGAUGGAGUUGCUAGUAAUCGCGGAUCAGCAUGCCGCGGUGAAUGCGUUCCCG
RNAcentral lists this ribosomal RNA (1174 nucleotides) under uncultured bacterium. RNAcentral describes it as "partial 16S ribosomal RNA". It matches the Rfam family "Bacterial small subunit ribosomal RNA", at positions 191 to 1376 of the family's 1533-position model. The record is from RNAcentral.